AUGCCCAUGUCUAAAAUUCCUUUAUUUAUUUUUAUUUCUUUAUUGCAGUUUCUCUUCCUCAAAAGCUUUGGUGGAAAGAUGAACGUGGAUCUUGUCUACUUUGUUACCUGUUGUAUUCUUGGUGGUCAGAAUAGUGCACAUGGGAUACACACCUACCUACUGAGAGACCUCCAAACAGAGACAUCAACAUAGAAACCUCCGCAGAGAUAACCAGAUCUCCAUAUGCAAACUCAUGCAAAAAGAAACCUAGAGAGACAGAUGCCCAGAAGAGGGGUGUGAGUAUAAGCUUUGGUGAGUAAAACCAAAGUGUGAAUUUAGGGGGAAAUGAGUACUGUAGAGAAAAUGAACAGGGCUAGAGGAGAUGGAGGAGAGGGUACAGAAAUGGUCAACAAAGCAACUUUAGGACACCCAGACAGAACGUUAAGCUUGGAUAGCCCCUAAAGGGCUUUUGGUGGUAUUCUGAACUCCCAUGCCUGGCCCAUUACCUACUGCCAAGAUGAAAAGGAGAGGGAUAGCCAUGUUCAGAGCUUUUCUCAGGAGCCCAAGUUCAGAGGAAGUCUCCUGCAAAGGUCAGUUCAUCUCCAUCCAGCACAGGCUAUAUUAGGGAAAUUUCACUGGGUGUUAACCUAUUUAACACUAAAGCCUUCUCAACCAUGUAGAUUAGUCUAAUGCUCUCUGAUGGGGUUAUCUAGGUAAUUCUCUCCUUCGCUUACCUAUGGCUAACAAACAACUUCCAUUAGCACAAGUGACCUGGUCAGUUAGUGAAUUGUGCUUAGUACACGUGAAGGCUCAUCUGUAUGAAACAGUGGGAUACUGAUUAGUUUCCCUCUAUUCCAGCAGAUGGAGCUACCGCCUGGAAGGACCCAAUGUGCUUCAGUGCCUGAUGCCCACUCCUCAAAAAACAAAACAAAACCCAAAACAAGAAGCGGUGUAGAGAGAAAGGAAAAUUACCAAAAGGAAAAAUUACUUGGUCUAGAAUUAUUUAGUGACUGUCCAAGUACCUGCACCAGUGUCUGACCAAUAAAGCAUAUUCAAUAGUGAAUACAUGUGACAUAAUCUGAUGAUCAGACGGUAGCUUGAGUUUGGAAUAGUAAUUCUGUCCUCCUUUUUCUGCUUGUUCUCUCCUCUCCCUUUGAUCUUUGUAUAUUCAUGUCCUUUGGACACCCACCUCCAUCAAAAUGUCAUAGAAAACUUCUGUGAAAUUUGAUUGGAGGUCAAACUGAUGUCAAAUGGAGGUGUGGGGAAAGGCAUGUGAUAAAAAUAGCCCCACUGAGGUUCCCACUUGUUUCCCAUGCCGUAGCAAUAGGCCCUAGGCAGUGUUUCUCAAAGUGUUUCCCCAGCCCUCUGCAUCAGUAUCAGCUGGGUUGUUUGUCAAAAAUUCCAAUUCCCAGGCCACGCCCCAAAGAAUCUGAUUCAGCGCUUCUGGACUGGGGCACUCUAAGUAGUUCUGUAAAACACAGCUUGAGAAUCUCACUCAUAGAUUAAGGAGAGCGAGCAAUCUUUUUAUCCUUAAUCCUGAAAUCUAAAGAGUACUGAGUACUGAAAACUGAAAACUGCUGGAUUUUCAUAACGCAUUUUGGCGGCAAAAUCUGAUCCAUGAAGUGACAUCAAACUAUAAAUGAUCUUUAUUUCAUAUAAUGUGGAUAUUCACACACUUUAAUGCAGAAAUACUGGUGUGUUUGAUUAGAAGUAGCUCUCCCUGACCCUACUGGUGAUGUGUGGUAUGUACACUGUAUUGACCAGUCUUUCGAAAAUCCAAGAAUUCUUGAAUUCAGAAACACACUUGGUUUUAGUGUGUUUCUGAACCCACACUUGGGUUCAAGUAAAGGGCACCUGCACUAAAUCCUCAUGUCCAGUCUAUAGGUGGUGUUUGAAGCAGUUCUAUUUGGCUCUGAUUUUUUUUUUUUUUUAAACUAGUGAAAGGAAUGUUGGUUUGGGAGCCAGAAGACAUCAUCUUUCUGGGCUUUGAGUCUCUGCCCUGAGAAGGAGAUGACAUUUAAAGUCUUCUGUCUCUAAAAUUUUGAUUUCCACACCUUCUUGCUUUCUUAAGAAAUGUUCAGAUAUUACUGCCAUAAAGAUUAUAUUGUUGUGUAUUUUUAUUCGUAUUAAAAGUUUAGAAAGGUGAAACUCUUUUUCUUUCUCAUAGAGUUUCAGACAGAUGCUUGGCUGACAUUUCUCUCAGUGGUGUGAAAGGACAUUUACCCAGAUUCUACAGAUAUUUUGAUAGAUUACUGCUCUCAACAAAACUGCAAUGAAACUACUAAAAUACAAAAGCAAUUGCGAACUCCAGAGAGUGCUAUAAAACAUUGCAGAAGAGAGUAUGGUUUAUGUUAAUUACAGAGGACUAACAAGAUGUAGAAUGAGAGAGCUGAAAAAGCCUCCACUACCAGUGGCUCUUAGAGGGUAAUCAGUCCAAGGGCAGCGCGCUGCCUGCUAGCAGAAUCCUUGUGAUCCCAAAACCCACAUGGCUGGGGUCUCUCUCUAGUCCUUUAUACAGUAAUCAAUAUUUAAAUGAUCACCCUAAAGCCCUGUCAAGUCCUGAAGCAAGAUUUUGAAAAAUAAAAAAACUCAUAAAACACAAAAUAGAGCAAAACAAUGAGCUCUGAGUUUGCUCUGUUGAAAGCAAUGGGUUGAACCCUGUCUCCCCAUAACGAAUGUUGAAUUCCUAACCUCCAGUACCACAGGGUGUGACCUUAUUUGGAGAUGCAGACAUCACAGAGGUAAUGAAAUUAAAGUGAAGUCAUUGGGAUGGGCCCGAAUCUGUUACAACUGGCAAUUUGGACACAGACACAUUCAGAUGGAACACCAUGUGAACAUAAAGGUGAUCAUCUACAAGUCAAGGGGAGAGGCUGGAACAGAUCCUUCUCUCCCAGGCCUCGGAAGGAACCAACCUGGUCAACACUUUGAUCUUGGACUUCUGGCCUCCAGAACUGUGAGACAACAAAUUUGUGAUCUUCUGUUACAACCCUAGCAAAAUGCACUGUAACACCCGAUUUCUAAUCUGAUAGCAAAGGGAGGCAUCUACAAUCUACAUCUUGUACGUUUGGGCAGUCAUUUCACCACUGGCUUCAUUUAUGUCCUAUUCUUUCUUUUCCAUUUGUUUCAUUUUUCUAAUUUUAUCUUCUAUUUUUAAAAAAGUUUACCAUACUAGAUGUAACUGUAUAAGGUGCCUGAAAUUCUUCUUAGGUUUGGAGAUGAUAUAAAUUGGUAAAUAAAGAUUAUCUGACCUUAAGCACAUGUAGCUCAUACAUGAUUGAGAUGAAACAACUAAAUAGCAAAAUAUUAAUUUAUAAAACAAAUUAAACAGCAAAUAAAUUAAAUUAUAAAAUCUGACUCUCCUGGACCAUUGGAUGAGGAACUCUAAGGGUUGACAAAGAUUUCAUAGAGCAAAUGAUUUCCGCACUCUGGGAAAGAAUUCUUCAGGCAGUAUAUACCACUUUAAAAUGGUGCUUACGUCACCAAAACAUCAGGGCUGUCUUCAACUUUUCACAACACUGAGCAAAGAGAGAGGAAGAUCACUUCUAAAUGGAGUGUAGCAGCGAUUUUAUGAAGUGUGUAAGGAACAUGACCAUUUACUGAGCAUCUGCUAUAUAGCAGGCACUCUGCUAGACAUUUGUUAUGGAAUGAAUACUUUAAUCUGUAUAAUAAACUUGCUAGGAUAUAUUUUAUACCAGUCCUACUUAAAACCAAUAAAUAUGAGGCUCAGAAAAGUAAAUUAACUCGUCUAAGAGCAAGUAAUUAGUAAAAAGUUGAGUUCGGAUUUGGUAUGAAGAAAAAUCUGACCUAAACUUGACAAUAUUUCUGCUUCUCCAAAUUGCUUCCUUAAAGUGUUUGGUUCUCUUCAAUACACUUGAAAAUUAUCAAUACCUAUAGAAAUGUCUGAUAUAAAGUCUUAGUUUAAACUAGAACAUUUAGAAAUUUUAGGCCCAGAGACUAAAAAAUAUGUGAAAUUAGUAUAAAAGUAUGGUCCAGGUGUGGUGGCUCAUGCCUGUAAUCCCAGCACUUUAGAAGGCCAAAGUGGGCGGAUCAUGAGGCCAGAAGAUUGAGACCAUCCUGGCAAACAUGGUGAAACCCGUUUCUACUAAAAACACAAAAAUUAGCUGGGCAUAGUGGCGUGUAUCUGUAAUCCCAGCUACUCAAGAAGCUGAGGCAGGAGAAUCACUUGAACCUGCAAGGUGGAGAUUGCAGUGAGCUUAAAUUGUAUCACUGCACUCCAGCCUGGGUGAUAGGGUGAGACUCCAUCUCAAAACAAAACGAAACAAAAAAAGUAUGUAAAAAUGUUUGUAAAGAAAUGAUGAUACCUUCAUAGACCAAUGUGGCAUGUAAAACAUGUGGGCCACAGAGGAAGAUUAAGAAAAAAAUACAUGCAAUCAAAUAAUAAAAGUGGAGUUACUCCAGGCUAUACUUUUUACCAAUUUCUUAGUGAGUAGAGAUUAGUAGUUAAUUAUAGAACCACUUUCUAUAUUAAGUCUAGAUAUUACAUUCUAAUCCUUAGAAAGUAGGCUGUGGAAGAAUGAAUAAUUACCCUCCAAGGCCCAUUCUCUUCUUCUCAUAGGAGAAUUUAUGGUUGCCCAGCUAAAGCUCUUAUUUUUCAGCACUCUUUGCAGAUGUGUAUGGUUAUGGACUCAGUUAUGGCCAAUGGACUAUGAGUAAAGGUCCUGUGUGACACGUUUGCUGUGCUCUUAAAGUGGAGGAGUGUGCCAUCUCAUCCCCGUGCUCCCUUUGUUGGCUUGGAAGCUGGCAGGGUGGUAGGAGUUAAACCAGCUGUUAUGGACUUUCAGAUGGAAACCACUGGUUAAGGAUGAGGGAGCAAGAAAAAGAAGAUCCUCAAGAUUGUGUGGCUCAUUUACCAGCCUGAGUUCCCAACCUGUGUUUUUGUAUUGCAGGAAAAUAAAGUGUGU
This 4901-nucleotide long non-coding RNA is filed under the name Callithrix jacchus (white-tufted-ear marmoset). RNAcentral's name for it is "lncRNA (ENSCJAG00000079341.1)". Lineage: Eukaryota; Metazoa; Chordata; Mammalia; Primates; Cebidae. The record is from RNAcentral.